RNAcentral lists this ribosomal RNA (522 nucleotides) under uncultured bacterium. RNAcentral's name for it is "bacterial SSU rRNA". It matches the Rfam family "Bacterial small subunit ribosomal RNA", at positions 777 to 1297 of the family's 1533-position model. The record is from RNAcentral.
AAUAGAUACCCCGGUAGUCCACGCCGUAAACGAUGAGUGCUAAGUGUUAGAGGGUUUCCGCCCUUUAGUGCUGCAGCUAACGCAUUAAGCACUCCGCCUGGGGAGUACGGCCGCAAGGCUGAAACUCAAAGGAAUUGACGGGGGCCCGCACAAGCGGUGGAGCAUGUGGUUUAAUUCGAAGCAACGCGAAGAACCUUACCAGGUCUUGACAUCCUCUGCCAACCCUAGAGAUAGGGCGUUCCCCUUCGGGGGACAGAGUGACAGGUGGUGCAUGGUUGUCGUCAGCUCGUGUCGCGAGAUGUUGGGUUAAGUCCCGCAACGAGCGCAACCCUUGAUCUUAGUUGCCAGCAUUCAGUUGGGCACUCUAAGGUGACUGCCGGUGACAAACCGGAGGAAGGUGGGGAUGACGUCAAAUCAUCAUGCCCCUUAUGACCUGGGCUACACACGUGCUACAAUGGAUGGUACAAAGAGCUGCGAACCCGCGAGGGUAAGCCAAUCUCAUAAAGCCAUUCUCAGUUCGGA